This 491-nucleotide ribosomal RNA is filed under the name uncultured bacterium. RNAcentral's name for it is "bacterial SSU rRNA". It matches the Rfam family "Bacterial small subunit ribosomal RNA", at positions 8 to 493 of the family's 1533-position model. The record is from RNAcentral.
AGAGUUGAUCCUGGCUCAGAUUGAACGCUGGCGGCGUGCCUAACACAUGCAAGUCGAGCGGUAACAGGUGUAGCAAUACAUGCUGACGAGCGGCGAACGGGUGAGUAAUGCUUCGGAAUCUACCCAGUAGUGGGGAAUAACUAACCGAAAGGUUAGCUAAUACCGCAUACGUCCUAAGGGAGAAAGCGGGGGUCGCAAGACCUCGCGCUAUUGGAUGAGCCGAAGUCGGAUUAGCUAGUUGGUGGGGUAACGGCUCACCAAGGCGACGAUCCGUAGCUGGUCUGAGAGGACGACCAGCCACACUGGAACUGAGACACGGUCCAGACUCCUACGGGAGGCAGCAGUGGGGAAUAUUGGACAAUGGGGGAAACCCUGAUCCAGCGACGCCGCGUGUGUGAAGAAGGCCUGCGGGUUGUAAAGCACUUUUAGUGGGGAUGAAAAGUUCAGGGCUCAUAUCCCUGGAUCCUGAUCCUAACUAUCAGAACAAGGAC